GAGGGGAUAGCUCAAGCAGUAGAGCAUGUGCUUGGCAUGCAUGAGGUCCUCGGUUCAAUCCCCAGUACCUCCU
Molecule: transfer RNA, 73 nt
Filed under: Camelus bactrianus (Bactrian camel)
Lineage: Eukaryota; Metazoa; Chordata; Mammalia; Artiodactyla; Camelidae
Also listed under: 2 other names
Rfam family: tRNA
About the family: Transfer RNA (tRNA) molecules are approximately 80 nucleotides in length. Their secondary structure includes four short double-helical elements and three loops (D, anti-codon, and T loops).
Source: Rfam by way of RNAcentral